This 423-nucleotide ribosomal RNA is filed under the name uncultured bacterium. Its description in RNAcentral is "bacterial SSU rRNA". It matches the Rfam family "Bacterial small subunit ribosomal RNA", at positions 28 to 453 of the family's 1533-position model. The record is from RNAcentral.
GACGAACGCUGGCGGCGUGCUUAACACAUGCAAGUCGAACGGUAAGGCCCUUUCGGGGGUACACGAGUGGCGAACGGGUGAGUAACACGUGAGUAACCUGCCCCAUACUCUGGGAUAACAGUUGGAAACAGCUGCUAAUACCGGAUAUGAGCCCCUUUCGCAUGUUGGGGGUUGGAAAGUGUUUGCGGUUUGGGAUGGACUCGCGGCCUAUCAGCUUGUUGGUGAGGUAGUGGCUCACCAAGGCUUCGACGGGUAGCCGGCCUGAGAGGGCGACCGGCCACAUUGGGACUGAGAUACGGCCCAAACUCCUACGGGAGGCAGCAGUGGGGAAUAUUGCACAAUGGGCGGAAGCCUGAUGCAGCAACGCCGCGUGCGGGAUGACGGCCUUCGGGUUGUAAACCGCUUUCAUCCAUGACGAAGCUU